AACGUUACGGGAAACCGGAGCUAAUACCGGAUAAUAUUUGAACCGCAUGGUUCAAAAGUGAAAGACGGUCUUGCUGUCACUUAUAGAUGGAUCCGCGCUGCAUUAGCUAGUUGGUAAGGUAACGGCUUACCAAGGCAACUAUGCAUAGCCGACCUGAGAGGGUGAUCGGCCACACUGGAACUGAGACACGGUCCAGACUCCUACGGGAGGCAGCAGAG
RNAcentral lists this ribosomal RNA (218 nucleotides) under uncultured Staphylococcus sp. RNAcentral describes it as "partial 16S ribosomal RNA". It matches the Rfam family "Bacterial small subunit ribosomal RNA", at positions 143 to 354 of the family's 1533-position model. The record is from RNAcentral. Lineage: Bacteria; Bacillati; Bacillota; Bacilli; Caryophanales; Staphylococcaceae.